RNAcentral lists this transfer RNA (71 nucleotides) under Capra hircus (goat). It matches the Rfam family "tRNA". Rfam says of the family: Transfer RNA (tRNA) molecules are approximately 80 nucleotides in length. Their secondary structure includes four short double-helical elements and three loops (D, anti-codon, and T loops). Further hydrogen bonds mediate the characteristic L-shaped molecular structure. tRNAs have two regions of fundamental functional importance: the anti-codon, which is responsible for specific mRNA codon recognition, and the 3' end, to which the tRNAs corresponding amino acid is attached (by aminoacyl-tRNA synthetases). tRNAs cope with the degeneracy of the genetic code in two manners: having more than one tRNA (with a specific anti-codon) for a particular amino acid; and 'wobble' base-pairing, i.e. permitting non-standard base-pairing at the 3rd anti-codon position. Lineage: Eukaryota; Metazoa; Chordata; Mammalia; Artiodactyla; Bovidae. The record is from Rfam by way of RNAcentral. RNAcentral also lists the same sequence under 1 other name.
UCCCUGGUGGCUCAAUGGUAAAGAAUCUGCCUGCAAUGCAGGAGACCCAGGUUUGAUCCCUGGGUUGGAAA